ACAGAGGGAACUUCUGCUAAUACCCAAUAUGCAGCAAUGUGAAAUAUUUUUUGCCAAAUGAGGAGCUCGCGUCCGAUUAGUUAGUUGGUGGGGUAAGAGCCUACCAAGGCAGCGAUCGGUAGCUGGUCUGAGAGGAUGAGCAGCCACACUGGGACUGAGACACGGCCCAGACUCCUACGGGAGGCAGCAGUGGGGAAUUUUCCGCAAUGGGCGAAAGCCUGACGGAGCAAUACCGCGUGAGGGAGGAAGGCUUUUGGGUUGUAAACCUCUUUUAUUAAGGAAGAAGAAAGUGACGGUACUUAAUGAAUCAGCAUCGGCUAACUCCGUGCCAGCAGCCGCGGUAAUACGGAGGAUGCAAGCGUUAUCCGGAAUCAUUGGGCGUAAAGCGUCCGCAGGUGGUUCAUCGUGUCUGCUGUUAAAGACAGAAGCUCAACUUCUGAAGGGCAGUGGAAACUGGUGAACUAGAGUACGGUAGGGGUUGAGGGAAUUCCCAGUGUAGCGGUGAAAUGCGUAGAUAUUGGGAAGAACACCAGUGGCGAAGGCGCUCAACUGGGCCGUAACUGACACUCAUGGACGAAAGCUAGGGUAGCGAAUGGGAUUAGAUAC
This 606-nucleotide ribosomal RNA is filed under the name cyanobacterium CBW1103. RNAcentral describes it as "bacterial SSU rRNA". It matches the Rfam family "Bacterial small subunit ribosomal RNA", at positions 146 to 785 of the family's 1533-position model. The record is from RNAcentral. Lineage: Bacteria; Bacillati; Cyanobacteriota.